AGAGUUUGAUCCUGGCUCAGGACGACGCUGGCGGCGUGCUUAACACAUGCAAGUCGAACGGAAAGGCCCUGCUUUUGUGGGGUGCUCGAGUGGCGAACGGGUGAGUAACACGUGAGUAACCUGCCCUUGACUUUGGGAUAACUUCAGGAAACUGGGGCUAAUACCGGAUAGGAGCUCCUGCUGCAUGGUGGGGGUUGGAAAGUUUCGGCGGUUGGGGAUGGACUCGCGGCUUAUCAGCUUGUUGUGGGGUAGUGGCUUACCAAGGCUUUGACGGGUAGCCGGCCUGAGAGGGUGACCGGCCACAUUGGGACUGAGAUACGGCCCAGACUCCUACGGGAGGCAGCAGUGGGGAAUAUUGCACAAUGGGCGGAAGCCUGAUGCAGCAACGCCGCGUGCGGGAUGACGGCCUUCGGGUUGUAAACCGCUUUCGCCUGUGACGAGGCGUGAGUGACGGUAAUGGGUAAAGAAGCACCGGCUAACUACGUG
This 486-nucleotide ribosomal RNA is filed under the name uncultured Propionibacterium sp. RNAcentral describes it as "bacterial SSU rRNA". It matches the Rfam family "Bacterial small subunit ribosomal RNA", at positions 8 to 507 of the family's 1533-position model. The record is from RNAcentral. Lineage: Bacteria; Bacillati; Actinomycetota; Actinomycetes; Propionibacteriales; Propionibacteriaceae.